This is a long non-coding RNA of Sinocyclocheilus anshuiensis, 299 nucleotides long. RefSeq lists it as uncharacterized. The transcript is spliced from 3 exons. NCBI's taxonomy places the organism in Eukaryota, Metazoa, Chordata, Actinopteri, Cypriniformes, Cyprinidae. The record is from RefSeq and is a predicted model, not a curated record.
UACGGGCACCCUUAGAAAUGACGAGGAAUGUGAUGAUGUAAUAUGUGUGUGACGGAAGUCAGCCUGUAGUCCACUCUCUUGCUUCUCCGUCAGGAUGGGGACCCAGGUUAAAGACGUGGUCAUUAAACCUGAUGCUCCAAACACUCUCCUCCUAGACAAGCAUGCCGACUAUAUUGCAGCCUAUGGCUCCAAGAAGGAUGACUAUGAGUACACGCUGUCCGAAUACUUGAGAAUGAGUGGCAUCUACUGGGGUCUGACAGUAAUGGACCUGAUGGGUCAGCUGUCUCGAAUGAACCGCA